UGGGGAAUUUUGGACAAUGGGGGCAACCCUGAUCCAGCCAUGCCGCGUGCGGGAAGAAGGCCUUCGGGUUGUAAACCGCUUUUAGCCGGGAAGAAAAGGCAGGGGCUAACACUCUCUGUUCUUGACGGUACCGGCGGAAUAAGCACCGGCUAACUACGUGCCAGCAGCCGCGGUAAUACGUAGGGUGCGAGCGUUAAUCGGAAUUACUGGGCGUAAAGCGUGCGCAGGCGGUUCGUUAAGUCUGAUGUGAAAGCCCCGGGCUCAACCUGGGAAUGGCAUUGGAUACUGGCGGGCUUGAGUGUGGCAGAGGGGGGUUGGAAUUCCGGCGUGUAGCAGUGAAAUGCGUAGAGAUGCGGAGGAACACCGAUGGCGAAGGCAGCCCCCUGGGCUGACACUGACGCU
This 402-nucleotide ribosomal RNA is filed under the name uncultured bacterium. RNAcentral describes it as "bacterial SSU rRNA". It matches the Rfam family "Bacterial small subunit ribosomal RNA", at positions 355 to 747 of the family's 1533-position model. The record is from RNAcentral.